GAAAAGGCGGGGUAAGAGCCCACCGCUUUUAUAGCAAUAUAAAAGGCAUGGCAAGCCCUCCCGGUGCAAUCUCAAAUAGGUGACCUAUAGGUUUGAUUCCACCUGGUCAUGGGUAGAGAGCAAAGAGUUCUUUAAGUAACUAAAGAACCAAGAUAAAUAGCUAUCAUUCGAAAGAAUACAGAAUCCGGCUUACAGACAGGAUGCUUAG
RNAcentral lists this RNase P RNA (208 nucleotides) under Leptospiraceae bacterium. Its description in RNAcentral is "partial RNase P RNA component class A". It matches the Rfam family "Bacterial RNase P class A", at positions 156 to 367 of the family's 367-position model. Rfam says of the family: Ribonuclease P (RNase P) is a ubiquitous endoribonuclease, found in archaea, bacteria and eukarya as well as chloroplasts and mitochondria. Its best characterised activity is the generation of mature 5'-ends of tRNAs by cleaving the 5'-leader elements of precursor-tRNAs. Lineage: Bacteria; Pseudomonadati; Spirochaetota; Leptospiria; Leptospirales; Leptospiraceae. The record is from RNAcentral.